GUUCCCUGCAUACACGGAUGCUGAGGCGCAGUGUCCCCCUGCAUACACGGAUGCUGAGGCGCAGUGUCCCCCUGCAUACACAGAUGCUGAGACGCAGUGUCCCCCUGCAUACACGGAUGCUGAGGCAGUGUCCCCCUGCAUACACAGAUGCUGAGGUGCAGUGUUCCCUGCAUACACGGAUGCUGAGGCAGUGUCCCCCUGCAUACACGGAUGCUGAGGCACAGUGUCCCCCUGCAUACACGGAUGCUGAGGCGCAGUGUCCCCCUGCAUACACGGAUGCUGAGGCGCAGUGUCCCCUGCAUACACGGAUGCUGAGGUGCAGUGUUCCCUGCAUACACGGAUGCUGAGGCAGUGUCCCCCUGCAUACACGGAUGCUGAGGCAGUGUCCCCCUGCAUACACGGAUGCUGAGGCACAGUGUCCCCCUGCAUACACGGAUGCUGAGGUGCAAUGUUCCCUGCAUACACGGAUGCUGAGGUGCAAUGUUCCCUGCAUACACGGAUGCUGAGGCAGUGUCCCCCUGCAUACACAGAUGCUGAGGAGCAGUGUUCCCUGCAUACACGGAUGCUGAGGCGCAGUGUCCCCCUGCAUACACGGAUGCUGAGGCAGUGUCCCCCUGCAUACACGGAUGCUGAGGUGCAGUGUUCCCUGCAUACACGGAUGCUGAGGCAGUGUCCCCCUGCAUACACGGAUGCUGAGGCACAGUGUCCUAUGCUCAAUUUGGGAUAUCUUAGAUUUAUUAAGUAUGGUUCACCAUAGCACUACUGCCAGUCCCAAGCUUUGUGAAGCUUUCUGCAGUUACAGAGACUAUGCAUCAAACAGCAUGCCUUACAAUGUGUGAACUAAUGGCUGAUGUCAUUAAACAGCAGGAGUCCAAAAGGCCCAGUGACUGUGAUCAGUGACGGCGCUGGAAGGGCAGUGGCAUACUUGUUGGAGCUCUGCUCACACUGUAAAAUAGCACUUGCCUAUUCUUGAAGGCAUGGUUUUGCUUAUCCUGUAACUCACAGCCAAUUUUUCUUUUGUUUACCAUUCAUUUAAUGCCUAGAACUGUUCUUUCAAGACUGGUCUCUACCUAUAAGAACCAUUAGUAAACAACUGAUUAUUAAAUGUAAGUAUAUCAAUCUAGGGAAAUAAAAGCUGUUUAAUAGUAUCACUAAAUUGGGUCUUGAAAAUAAGAUAAUUUUGUAAAAGUUACAAGAGUACUAGAUAAGUGAUAGAUCUUUUCAGCCACCAGACCAGCACUAGGCUCAGAUGUUAGCCUGAGUCUGCAUUGAAUACUAAGGGUGCUAGUCAGGAAGAAUCUGCCACUGAAUGUCCUUGGUUGGGAGUUAGUGCAGAUUCAAGGGAGCAGUUCAGAAUGCUAGUUCCAUAACUAAACCAUUUUCCUAGAGCAGUUCUCUGUAUGUUGCUCAUGCACAUGAAGACAAAAAUUAAGUGAGCUGGGCAGCAGUGGCGCAUGCCUUUAAUCCCAGAACUUGGGAGGCAGAGGCAGGAGGAUUUCCGAGUUGAGGUCAGCCUGAUCUACAGAAUAAGCUACAGGACAGCCAGGGCUACACAGAGAAAUCCUGUCUCUGGGGGAAAAAAAAAAUAGUGACUUUGCUCUUACGAGUCCACUCCUAACAAGCACAGGCAGAUUAGACAGACGGGGUUGAAGGAAAUGUUAUUGCUCUGUGAGAGAACAAAAAAUUCACUCUCUCCAACCUUAAUAUCUCAAAAUAAGACCUUUCUAAAGUGAAAGCUUUUAAGUCAAGUGCUAUGGCACAUAUAUGCUUGUAGUCCCAAUUACCACUUGAGGGCCAAAUAGAGGAUUACUGGUGGUGUAUGCCUUUAAUCCCAGCACUUGGAAGGCAGAAGAAGCAGGUAGAUUUCUGAGUCUGAGGACAGCCAGGGCUAUACAGAGAAACUCUGCCUCAAAAAACAAAACAAAACAAAAAAGAAUUACUGGGAG
Molecule: long non-coding RNA, 1946 nt
Organism: Apodemus sylvaticus (European woodmouse)
Lineage: Eukaryota; Metazoa; Chordata; Mammalia; Rodentia; Muridae
Exons: 3
Source: RefSeq, a predicted model, not a curated record